CGGUCCCCCCGCAACGAUUACCCGUGAACCUGGUCAGAGCCGGAAGGCAGCAGCCACAGCGGGAACAUUGUGUGCCGGGGUGUGGCUGG
Molecule: signal recognition particle RNA, 89 nt
Filed under: Pseudomonas syringae
Lineage: Bacteria; Pseudomonadati; Pseudomonadota; Gammaproteobacteria; Pseudomonadales; Pseudomonadaceae
Also listed under: 5 other names
Description: Bacterial small signal recognition particle RNA
Rfam family: Bacterial small signal recognition particle RNA
About the family: The signal recognition particle (SRP) is a universally conserved ribonucleoprotein involved in the co-translational targeting of proteins to membranes.
Source: RNAcentral